GACGAACGCUGGCGGCGUGCCUAAUACAUGCAAGUUGAGCGCUGAAGGUUGGUACUUGUACCAACUGGAUGAGCAGCCAACGGGUGAGUAACGCGUGGGGAAUCUGCCUUUGAGCGGGGGACAACAUUUGGAAACGAAUGCUAAUACCGCAUAAAAACUUUAAACACAAGUUUUAAGUUUGAAAGAUGCAAUUGCAUCACUCAAAGAUGAUCCCGCGUUGUAUUAGCUAGUUGGUGAGGUAAAGGCUCACCAAGGCGAUGAUACAUAGCCGACCUGAGAGGGUGAUCGGCCACAUUGGGACUGAGACACGGCCCAAACUCCUACGGGAGGCAGCAGUAGGGAAUCUUCGGCAAUGGACGAAAGUCUGACCGAGCAACGCCGCGUGAGUGAAGAAGGUUUUCGGAUCGUAAAACUCUGUUGGUAGAGAAGAACGUUGGUGAGAGUGGAAAGCUCAUCAAGUGACGGUAACUACCCAGAAAGGGACGGCUAACUACGUG
RNAcentral lists this ribosomal RNA (497 nucleotides) under uncultured bacterium. RNAcentral's name for it is "partial 16S ribosomal RNA". It matches the Rfam family "Bacterial small subunit ribosomal RNA", at positions 28 to 507 of the family's 1533-position model. The record is from RNAcentral.